CCUACGGGGGGCAGCAGUGAGGAAUAUUGGUCAAUUGACGAGAGUCUGAACCAGCCAAGUAGCGUGAAGGAUGACUGCCCUAUGGGUUGUAAACUUCUUUUAUAUGGGAAUAAAAUGUUCCACGUGUGGGAUUUUGUAUGUACCAUAUGAAUAAGGAUCGGCUAACUCCGUGCCAGCAGCCGCGGUAAUACGGAGGAUCCGAGCGUUAUCCGGAUUUAUUGGGUUUAAAGGGAGCGUAGGUGGAUUGUUAAGUCAGUUGUGAAAGUUUGCGGCUCAACCGUAAAAUUGCAGUUGAAACUGGCAGUCUUGAGUACAGUAGAGGUGGGCGGAAUUCGUGGUGUAGCGGUGAAAUGCUUAGAUAUCACGAAGAACUCCGAUUGCGAAGGCAGUUCACUGGACUGCAACUGACACUGAGGCUCGAAAGUGUGGGUAUCAAACAGGAUUAGAUACCCUAGUAGUC
RNAcentral lists this ribosomal RNA (460 nucleotides) under uncultured bacterium. RNAcentral's name for it is "partial 16S ribosomal RNA". It matches the Rfam family "Bacterial small subunit ribosomal RNA", at positions 338 to 795 of the family's 1533-position model. The record is from RNAcentral.